GGUCAAGCUAGAAAGAGCGCAAGGGGAAUGCCUUGGCAUCAGGAGCCGAUGAAGGACGCGACAAGCUGCGAUAAGCUUCGGGUAGCUGCAAAUAAGCGAUGAUCCGGAGAUUUCCGAAUGGGGCAACCCGGCACGGCAAUACCGUGUCAGCGUGCACUGAAUCAAAUAGGUGUACGUGGGGAACCGCCUGAACUGAAACAUCUAAGUAGGGCGAGGAAAAGACAUCAACCGAGAUUCCGCAAGUAGUGGCGAGCGAACGCGGAGGAGGCCAAACCAGAGGUCAUUGAUCUCUGGGGUAAGGACUUGCAUCAUGAUCAGAGGUAUCUAGUCGAAUGGCGUGGGAAAGCCAACCACAGAGGGUGAGAGUCCCGUAGACGAAAGAGAAGACUGACAGCGAGUAUCCAGAGUACCGCCGGACACGUGAAACCCGGUGGGAACAUGGGAGGACCACCUUCCAAGCCUAAAUACUACCUGAUGACCGAUAGAGAAGCAGUACCGUGAGGGAAAGGUGAAAAGAACCCCGGGAGGGGAGUGAAAUAGUACCUGAAACCUUGUGCUUACAAGCAGUCAGAGCACGUUAAAGUGUGAUGGCGUACCUUUUGUAGAAUGGUCCGGCGAGUUAUAGUCACUGGCGAGGUUAAGCAAUUCAGUUGUGGAGCCGAAGGGAAACCGAGUCUUAAUAGGGCGUCGAGUCAGUGGCCAUAGACCUGAAACCGGGUGACCUAUCCAUGAGCAGGUUGAAGUUGGUGUAAAAGCCAAUGGAGGACCGAACCCACGUUCGUUGCAAUGACCGGGGAUGACUUGUGGAUAGCGGAGAAAUUCCAAUCGAACUCGGAGAUAGCUGGUUCUCCCCGAAAUAGCUUUAGGGCUAGCGUUGUGUUAGUUUACCGGAGGUAGAGCACUGAAUUGGCUAAGGGGCGAUGAGCUUACUGAACCUUAUCAAACUUCGAAUGCCGGAUAAAUGGUGCACAGCAGUCAGACAGUGUGAGAUAAGUUUCAUUGUCAAGAGGGAAACAGCCCAGACCCACAGCUAAGGUCCCAAAUGAACGCUAAGUGGAAAACGAUGUGGGGUUGCAAAAACAACCAGGAUGUUGGCUUAGAGGCAGCCACUCAUUAAAAGAGUGCGUAAUAGCUCACUGGUCGAGUGACCCUGCGCGGAAAAUAUAACGGGGCUAAGCGUCCAACCGAAGCUUGGGAUGUCUAAGGACAUGGUAGGGGAGCGUCGUGUAUAGGGAGAAGCAUGAGCGAGAGCACAUGUGGACAGUACACGAGUGAGAAUGCCGGAAUGAGUAGCGAGAAUUAUGUGGGAAUCAUAAUGGCCGAAAAUCUAAGGUUUCUUGGGGAAGGUUCGUCCGCCCAAGGUAAGCCGGGAGCUAAGGCGAGGCCGAAAGGCGUAGUCGAUGCACAUACGGUUGAAAUUCCGUAGCCGCCGAAAUUGUUAAGCACAGGGACACAUAGAGAUAUCCGAACCCGGGCGUUGGUUGACCCGGGCGCAAGGGACCGAACAUCAGUAGGGAAGUCGGAGAUGCUCUGUGGCGAGAAAAGCUGUGUGUAUUGAUUAGGCGCCCGUACCGCAAACCGACACAGGUAGAUGAGGAGAGAAUCCUAAGGCCAACGGGAGAAGGGUUGUUAAGGAACUCGGCAAAUUGACCCCGUAACUUCGGGAUAAGGGGAGCCUCCUACGGGAGGCCGCAGUGAAUAGGCCCAAGCAACUGUUUACCAAAAACACAGGUCUCUGCUAAAUCGAAAGAUGACGUAUAGGGGCUGACGCCUGCCCGGUGCCGGAAGGUUAAGAGGAGAGCUUAGCGCAAGCGAAGGUUCGAAUUGAAGCCCCGGUAAACGGCGGCCGUAACUAUAACGGUCCUAAGGUAGCGAAAUUCCUUGUCAGGUAAGUUCUGACCCGCACGAAUGGCGUAAUGAUUUGGGCACUGUCUCAACAGCCCGCCCGGCGAAAUUGUAGUACUGGUGAAGAUGCCAGUUACCCGCAACUAGACGGAAAGACCCCAUGGAGCUUUACUGUAGCCUAAUACUGAAGAUCGGUAAUGCAUGUACAGGAUAGGUGGGAGUCAGCGAAACCCGGGCGUCAGCUCGGAUGGAGGCAACCUUGGAAUACCACCCUUGUAUUGCUGGUUUUCUAACCUGCGGCCAUGAAUCUGGUCGGGGGACACUGUUAGGUGGGCAGUUUGACUGGGGCGGUCGCCUCCAAAAGCGUAACGGAGGCGCUCAAAGGUUGGCUCAGCACGGACGGAAAUCGUGCAUAGAGUGCAAACGCACAAGCCAACUUGACUGCGAGACCGACGGGUCGAGCAGGUACGAAAGUAGGAGUUAGUGAUCCGGUGGUAUGUGAGUGGAAAUGCCAUCGCUCAACGGAUAAAAGCUACCCUGGGGAUAACAGGCUGAUCUCCCCCAAGCGUCCACAGCGACGGGGAGGUUUGGCACCUCGAUGUCGGCUCGUCACAUCCUGGGGCUGUAUUCGGUCCCAAGGGUUCGGCUGUUCGCCGAUUAAAGUGGCACGCGAGCUGGGUUCAGAACGUCGUGAGACAGUUCGGUCCCUAUCUGUUGCGGGCGCAGGAGAUUUGAAGGGAGCUGUCCUUAGUACGAGAGGACCGGGAUGGACAGACCUCUGGUGCACCAGUUGUCGUGCCAACGGCACAGCUGGGUAGCUACGUCUGGACGAGAUAAACGCUGAAAGCAUCUAAGUGUGAAACUCCCCCUAAGAUAAGAUCUCCCAUCCAUUAGGAGUAAGGGACGACAGAGACUAUGUCGUUGAUAGGUCGGAAGUGUAAGUGCAGUAAUGCAUUGAGCUGACCGAUACUAAUAACCCGAGGGCUUGACCUA
This 2838-nucleotide ribosomal RNA is filed under the name Clostridiales bacterium. Its description in RNAcentral is "23S ribosomal RNA". It matches the Rfam family "Bacterial large subunit ribosomal RNA". Lineage: Bacteria; Bacillati; Bacillota; Clostridia; Eubacteriales. The record is from RNAcentral.